AUUGAACGCUGGCGGCAUGCCUUACACAUGCAAGUCGAACGGCAGCACGGGGGCAACCCUGGUGGCGAGUGGCGAACGGGUGAGUAAUACAUCGGAACGUGCCCGGUAGUGGGGGAUAGCUCGGCGAAAGCCGGAUUAAUACCGCAUACGACCUGCGGGUGAAAGCGGGGGAUCGCAAGACCUCGCGCUAUCGGAGCGGCCGAUGUCAGAUUAGGUUGUUGGUGGGGUAAAGGCCACCAAGCCGACGAUCUGUAGCUGGUCUGAGAGGACGACCAGCCACACUGGGACUGAGACACGGCCCAGACUCCUACGGGAGGCAGCAGUGGGGAAUUUUGGACAAUGGGCGCAAGCCUGAUCCAGCCAUGCCGCGUGCGGGAAGAAGGCCUGGUGUAACG
This 395-nucleotide ribosomal RNA is filed under the name uncultured bacterium. RNAcentral's name for it is "bacterial SSU rRNA". It matches the Rfam family "Bacterial small subunit ribosomal RNA", at positions 29 to 430 of the family's 1533-position model. The record is from RNAcentral.